Leptonychotes weddellii (Weddell seal) is the source of this 1282-nucleotide non-coding RNA. The record is from RefSeq and is a predicted model, not a curated record. Lineage: Eukaryota; Metazoa; Chordata; Mammalia; Carnivora; Phocidae.
GAAAGAAUGCUAAGAGCCAGACUCAUCGGUGCACAGACCCGGGAGUUGGGGAAUACCGACGAGGCAAAACUCCGUCCGAGAACAAUAAGAACCAUAGGAUUCCAGAGGACCACCAGGGAUUCCAGCAUCAGAGAAAGCGGAACUAAUUGUUCCAACCACCUCCUUUUGGGAGGGACGGGUCGGACACUUACGCUGUCCUCCCCCCCCCCCACCGGCACUUGCGCCGGCACGUGCAGGAAGUGGGCGGGGAAUCCUGGAAAGCCAUAUUUGGACCGGGCAGCGAACCGGAAGUGGGUUGGAGGUGUGGCGGAAGUGGUUGGGGAGAGGAGCGCGGGAGGGGGCGGUUCCCGUUCUACCGUGGAGCCGGAUGUUUGCCGAGCUUUGACAGGCGUGGCAGAGGGAGCAGUGCCCGACCACGGGAUUCAGCCCCACUCCCGGGUCUGCAGUGACGAGACUUCAUCUCCUUCGCUGCUUUUCUCCUGCACUUCCCAGGGAAGAGUCCAGGUCAGAUCGCAGUCAUCGAGCAAGCCCAUGAGAAGGGGAAGUCUCUGAUCCGAUCUGGCGAAGCUCUAAGAACAAGAAAUUUGGGGGAAGUAUUCCAGCCUGCCACUAACUAGGCCACGCUUUCAUUUCUAUUUCUUAAUCCCUGAAAUGGGAUAAUUACACCUGGUACGGGUUUUGCAAACUGUGAAGCUCUGGACAAAUGCACUUGUAGUUGAAAGCCUUGCUAUUGUAUCGUGGGAUUUGCAUUUUCGCAAUGCUGGGGCCCCAACUGGGAGGGUGAUCCCAGUGCCAGAGAAUACUAUUUCAAAUUGUUAUCUCAGCUCUUCGUGAAGAUUAGGGGAGAGGCUUUACUUUGCCUUUUUAUGAACCCUCUCUGAACCUUCAGAAUCACAUGAAUGACAGUCAUUUAGAGAAAUGUUGAGGGAUUGACCUGCAUCAAAAGACCACCUUAUAAAGACAUAGAUUAAAAUCUUGACUCUGCUGUAUGACCUACCUAAACAAUUUGCUUAUUUUUUCUGGUCCUCACUUUCCUCAAACAGUAAAAUGGGCUUAGUAGUAUAAACCUCACUGGUGCUGUUGUGAAGUUAAAAAGUAAUUUGUCUACUUUAUGGUGCUAUAUAGGCCCUCAACAAAUACUGGUUGCCUUCUCCAUUUAGGAGAUGACCUCAUUCAUUCAGUCAUUCAACAAAUGAGAGCAUCUAUGUGCUGAAUAGGUCAGGGAUUCUUUUUUUUUUUUUUAAAGAUUUUAUUUAUUUAUUUGACAGAGAGAGACACAGCG